UACGGAGGGGGCUAGCGUUGUUCGGAAUUACUGGGCGUAAAGCGCACGUAGGCGGUGGUGCAUGUCAGAUGUGAAAGCCCCGGGCUCAACCUGGGAAUUGCAUUCGAGACUGAAUAGCUAGGGUACGGUAGAGGGAAGUGGAAUUUCCGGUGUAGCGGUGAAAUGCGUAGAUAUCGGAAGGAACAUCAGUGGCGAAAGCGACUUCCUGGACCAGUACCGACGUUCAGGCACGAAAGCGUGGGGAGCAAACAGG
Molecule: ribosomal RNA, 253 nt
Filed under: uncultured bacterium
Lineage: Bacteria
Description: partial 16S ribosomal RNA
Rfam family: Bacterial small subunit ribosomal RNA
Source: RNAcentral